RNAcentral lists this ribosomal RNA (387 nucleotides) under uncultured eukaryote. RNAcentral's name for it is "partial 18S ribosomal RNA". It matches the Rfam family "Eukaryotic small subunit ribosomal RNA", at positions 592 to 976 of the family's 1831-position model. The record is from RNAcentral.
CAAUAGCGUAUAUUAAAGUUGUUGCAGUUAAAAAGCUCGUAGUUGGAUUUCUGAUCGAGACAUCAGGUCGGGUCCGAGAGGAUCAUGUACUUUGAUUUGUUUUGAUCAUCCUUGGGGAGAGCAUUUCUGGCAUUCAGUUGUCGGGAUUGGGAUCCUCAUCGUUUACUGUGAAAAAAUUAGAGUGUUCAAAGCAGGCCUCGGCCUCUGAAUACAUUAGCAUGGAAUAAUAAGAUAGGACUUUGGUGGUCUAUUUUGUUGGUUUGCACGCCAAAGUAAUGAUUAAUAGGGAUAGUUGGGGGUAUUCGUACUCAAUUGUCAGAGGUGAAAUUCUUGGAUUUAUGGAAGACGAACUACUGCGAAAGCAUUUACCAAGGAUGUUUUCAUUAA